This 1692-nucleotide long non-coding RNA is filed under the name Pan troglodytes (chimpanzee). RNAcentral describes it as "lincRNA". Lineage: Eukaryota; Metazoa; Chordata; Mammalia; Primates; Hominidae. The record is from RNAcentral.
GAGUGAGAAGAGAUCAAAGAAACGUUUGCAUCCAGGGGGAUGGAGAACUCCACUGUAAAGAGGGGAAGAAGCAAGGAUGAAGACAAAUGUCUUUUGUGAAGACUUUGAAGUUGCAGGUUCAUUCUGCCGCCAUAUACGUAACAUUCUAAGGGUUUCACUGGUGCCUUGAGAACCUUUGACAUCUGUUUGCAGCUCGAAAGUCCAUGGAGCACCUUUAUGACCAAUAAAAGAGAAGGACCAAUGUAUAAAUAUUUUUUUCUUCUCUGAGGAUGGGCAAUUCUGAGAUGCAUUGCAUAAAGCAUCAAGUUAAUAUUUAAUCAGUUGAAGUAUAAGAUAUUGCAACUCCCACAUACCUGGCUUAAGGCAGGAUACAAAGGCAUAGAAUAGAAAUUGAAUCUGAGAACAUCCAAAAAGAUGUCAUGAGUCUCAUUGUUUUAUGGACUCUGGCCAUAAAACAAUGAGACUCGUGAAGGUAUAAAAAUCAUGAAUAAUUUUCAUAAUUCUCCUUCUCCAAGGCCCCAAACAAAUCCUUUCACUUCCUGAAGGAACCAAUUGACUUUUUCUUUUUCUCAAGAUUGUCAAGAGAGAUUUUUAUCCUCCCAGACUUGAAUGUCUUCUGAUUAGAGAAAUAUCUGCCCAAAAAACGUCAAAAAAGGAGAAAAAGAAGAACCUAAGGAACAUGAACAUGUCAUAGAAAUUUCUCUCGGUGGUAACCCAGCCUCAAACGGACCAACUGUGUGCAAAGCUUUUCCCCAUUUUCCUAAAGGAAAAAUGCUGCUCUUAACAGUACUUAUUUUUCAGGGGGCCCAAUUUCAGAUAUGUUGGUUUUGGCAGGCUUCUGCUCAAGCUGUAUUUUUUUCCUACUGAAUUACAGUAAGAACUAAGUAUUAGAGGCUGUAAUUAAAGGUUGGUGAGGCAAAACUGGAAAUGUGCUCAAUGGGCUGCACUCAGAUCCACCUGAUCCGGAUACAUCAAAAUAUUGGUCAAAACUUCCCAUUUAUGAAUCAGCUCAGUUCUGGACUGAAGAGAAGCUUUUGAGACCCUCUGGAUGCUUUCUCCCAGGUUCUCUGUUAUGGGUUGAAUUGUCAUAGGUCUUCAUAAAGGUUAUUAAGUUAUAAUAAGGCCAAAUGGUUGAGGCCCUAAUUCAGUAUGUCUAGUAUUGCUAGACAUAAGAACAAAAGACACCAGGAUGUGCACACACAGAGGAACGGCCAUGUGAAGACACAGGAAGAAGCCGUCAUCUGCGAGCCAAGGAGAGAUGCCCCAAGAGGAACCAAACCUAAUGACACUAUGAUCAUGGACUUCUAGUCUUCGAACUGUGAAACAAUCAAUCUCUGUUUUUUCAGCCACUCAGUCUGUGGUAUUUUGUUCUGGCAGCCCUAGCUGACUUGGAUAGUCUCCCAUGGUGAAGGUGCCCUGUGGGCCAGGCAGAGAUUCUUGUUCCCAGAGCAUGGCAUGGCCUUUCCUGUCUACUGGCUUUUGCAUGUGAUACUCAUGUCAGUAGGAUACCCUCCUUUAUUUCUUCACAUAUCCAAAUCCUACUGUCUUUCCAUGGAAAGGGAAAGCCCCUACACUACUGGUAAACUGCGACAGGGUCUCCCUAUGUUGCCCAGGCUGACCUCAAACUCCUGACCUCAAAUGAUCCUCCUGCCUGAGCCUCCCAAGAUGCUGGGAUUACAGGAAACAAAUAUA